Molecule: long non-coding RNA, 960 nt
Organism: Rhinichthys klamathensis goyatoka
Lineage: Eukaryota; Metazoa; Chordata; Actinopteri; Cypriniformes; Leuciscidae
Exons: 6
Source: RefSeq, a predicted model, not a curated record
UUACAUGAACGUGCAACCAAAACAGGAAGCCCUUCAAAGACUAUCCACAUUCUUUAUGACACCCUCUCAACUUCUCCCGCAAGACAGCAACCCAAUAAUGCCAGAGCCUAAAGCAGCACACGAAGAGGAUCCUGGCAGCUUAAAUCAAGAGGAAGUAAAUCUAGAUGUUUCAGAACUCCAGUUUCUUCCUCCUCCGGGCCUGUACGCCGACAGCAUAGCUGGAGACUCCAUGCCCAUUUACAGCAAGCCAAUCAAACUCGUCUCAAAAUAGCCGAAUAGCUCCGGCUGCAAGAGGGAAAGAUGGACCGCUGGAUCUUCACUCUGAGUUCAUAACCCUCCUGUGGGGCGUGAUUUGAUGAGACCACAGUAAAUGCCACCCACACAAGCUCAAGAAGAGAUGUGUCUGUCAAGUGGGAAGAAUAAUGUUUGUGAUUGUGCAUCUGUCUGUGAGUGGCUGCAGGCGAGUUCUUCUAUAUUCAUGUAUAUAAUGUGCAUUCUGUGUGGGGAAAAAAGCCCAUGCGUGGUGCGGUGAGAAGCUCUUCAGAUUAUUUAGACCCUUGCAUUUAAGUGUUAGUUCACUUUUGUGUGGAAAAGACAGUCUGUGUCUAGAGGUUGUCUAAUAAGUCUAAAAGGUUCAUAAUUGAACAAUUGCGUUCAAAGCAUGAGAGCUCAUGCAUGUUGAAACAGCUUGGCAUUUGGAUUUGGUUUUAACAGUACACUGCCAUGUAAACCUUUAAAUGCAGUAAAAAGUCAGCAUUAUUUUUGCGGUAUAAUUUACUUAUUUAAGUUAGGAUUGCGGCUUACAUGUUUAUAUAGCCAUACUUUGUAUUUGUAUUAGAUUAAUUAGUAUUAUAUUAUUCAUUUGAUAUUUUACAAGCAGUACUUUGCGUUUAAGUGCUCCCAGUCUUCAGGGCUUUACUCAUUAGGGGAAAUAUGCGGACGCGUGUUUGAGUGCUGUUU